RNAcentral lists this ribosomal RNA (797 nucleotides) under uncultured bacterium. RNAcentral's name for it is "bacterial SSU rRNA". It matches the Rfam family "Bacterial small subunit ribosomal RNA", at positions 8 to 802 of the family's 1533-position model. The record is from RNAcentral.
AGAGUUUGAUCCUGGCUCAGGACGAACGCUGGCGGCGUGCCUAAUACAUGCAAGUCGAGCGGAUUUAUCCUUCGGGAUAAGUUAGCGGCGGACGGGUGAGUAACACGUAGGCAACCUGCCUAUAAGACUGGGAUAACUAUCGGAAACGAUAGCUAAGACCGGAUAACUGAUUUUCUCGCAUGAGAAAAUUAUGAAACACAGAGCAUCUGUGGCUUAUAGAUGGGCCUGCGGCGCAUUAGCUAGUUGGUAGGGUAACGGCCUACCAAGGCGACGAUGCGUAGCCGACCUGAGAGGGUGAACGGCCACACUGGGACUGAGACACGGCCCAGACUCCUACGGGAGGCAGCAGUAGGGAAUCCUCCGCAAUGGGCGCAAGUCUGACGGAGCAACGCCGCGUGAGUGAUGAAGGUUUUCGGAUCGUAAAGCUCUGUUGCCCUAGACGAACAGCAAGAGGAGUAACUGCCUUUUGUGCGACGGUAUAGGAGAAGAAAGCCCCGGCUAACUACGUGCCAGCAGCCGCGGUAAUACGUAGGGGGCAAGCGUUGUCCGGAAUUAUUGGGCGUAAAGCGCGCGCAGGCGGUCAAUUAAGUUGGGUGUUUAAGCCCGGGGCUCAACCCCGGUUCGCAUCCAAAACUGGUCGACUUGAGUGUAGGAGAGAAAGUGGAAUUCCACGUGUACCGGUGAAAUGCGUAGAGAUGUGGAGGAACCCCAUGGCGAAAGCUACUUUCUGGGCUUAAACUGACCCUGAGGCGCGAAACGUUGGGAAGCAACCGGAUAGAUACCUUGGUAGCCACGCG